Molecule: long non-coding RNA, 410 nt
Organism: Pocillopora damicornis (cauliflower coral)
Lineage: Eukaryota; Metazoa; Cnidaria; Anthozoa; Scleractinia; Pocilloporidae
Source: RefSeq, a predicted model, not a curated record
AUGCUGUCUCUAGCGAAGUAUAUAGCAACAGACUGCUUAGCAAGCAGCUUACAAGCCUGCUCAUACAUCAAGGCAUUGUGAAUUCCAAGGCCACAGAAGAUUGCAAAUGCCUGUUGGAAGCUCCUGGGUGAAGAUCAAAGGCCUUGGAAAAUAUGGUCGCUUGCUAUUAAACAGUUUCGCAAGACUCAUCCCUGAGGAAAACCAUACAUCUUUCAACAUCAAGUAAUUGUUGUACCUCAACCAUAAUGUUAUGGACACAUGUAUCUAGGUUACUCUGCUCUUCAAAUAUUCCACGUGCAAGUUGAAGAAGGAUCUACAAUUCAGUCGGUACACCACAUGGCAAACCCAGAUCACAAUUUGGUUAUAUAACAGUAUUGUGCAAUUAAAGUAAUGUGAGUGAAAAUCGGCAA